Molecule: ribosomal RNA, 486 nt
Filed under: uncultured bacterium
Lineage: Bacteria
Description: partial 16S ribosomal RNA
Rfam family: Bacterial small subunit ribosomal RNA
Source: RNAcentral
AUUGAACGCUGGCGGCAUGCCUUACACAUGCAAGUCGAACGGCAGCACGGGUGCUUGCACCUGGUGGCGAGUGGCGAACGGGUGAGUAAUACAUCGGAACAUGUCCUGUAGUGGGGGAUAGCCCGGCGAAAGCCGGAUUAAUACCGCAUACGAUCCACGGAUGAAAGCGGGGGACCUUCGGGCCUCGCGCUAUAGGGUUGGCCGAUGGCUGAUUAGCUAGUUGGUGGGGUAAAGGCCUACCAAGGCGACGAUCAGUAGCUGGUCUGAGAGGACGACCAGCCACACUGGGACUGAGACACGGCCCAGACUCCUACGGGAGGCAGCAGUGGGGAAUUUUGGACAAUGGGCGAAAGCCUGAUCCAGCAAUGCCGCGUGUGUGAAGAAGGCCUUCGGGUUGUAAAGCACUUUUGUCCGGAAAGAAAUCCUUGGCCCUAAUACGGUCGGGGGAUGACGGUACCGGAAGAAUAAGCACCGGCUAACUACGUG